This is a long non-coding RNA of Leucoraja erinaceus (little skate), 489 nucleotides long. RefSeq lists it as uncharacterized. The transcript has 2 exons. The record is from RefSeq and is a predicted model, not a curated record. Lineage: Eukaryota; Metazoa; Chordata; Chondrichthyes; Rajiformes; Rajidae.
CGCAAGCACGCACACUGGCGACUGUAACAAUCCCGUCCGCCAUGGCUGCUACAUUGUAUCGAGCUCCCCGACAUUCUGCUCCACAGCCAUCGGCUCCCAUUCUGCCAUCGGUCAACCUCCACCAUGAAAACAUUUAAAGAGGAAGCAGAAUCCCACAGCCAGUUCCCACCCCUUUUAUGAUGAAAUGUUAUGACAUCAGCAGCCCCACGGCAGGAUAUCAGAGGCAGCAAUUGAAUGAAUGAAUGGGACCGCGGGAGUUUGUGCGACACUGCGAGCUUGAAGGGCUGCCACUGGAACAAAGACAUCAACGCGAGAGAAAUGUUAGAAAUGACAUUCAUUUUAAACAUAGUUUCUGUUUGUAAACCCCAACAUCUGCAGUUCCUUGUUUCUCGAAAACUUUGGUGUUGAGUUUACUUUCUAAUAAAAUCAAUGUAGGGCGCUUGUUGAACGCAAGACAGCCGCAGCAAUGACCAGAGUGCAACAUCAAAA